UAGAAUUUUUAAAUAGGUUCUUGAGUAAAGAUAGUUUGGGGAAAUUAUAGUGAUGAUGAAAUGUUUACUUGAAAGUAUGAUUUUGUGGAAUAAGGUGUAAAAUUAAAUUGGUUAAAUUAUGAUUAUUAGUUUUACUAGUUUGAAAGAAGGAAUUAUUUUUAUGUUUGGAGUGAAGAUUAUUGUGAUGAAUUAGCUAUUAAGAAAUGGACUAGAAAGUGGAAUUAGUUUGAAGUGAUUAGAGGAAAUUGGGAAAAAUUAUUCUAGUAUCGAGAAGUCGAGUUUUAGUAUUCGAUUACUAAUAUUAGGAGAUACUUAGUAUGAGAGUUGUUAAAUUAGUUACUUUAUAUCGUAUUUUAGGUGGUGACGUGAAAGUUGGGCAAGGUUGGUAAAUUUAACCAGAUUGCAAUCCAUAGAUCUGUGAGUGGAGAACCUACUUUUCCAAAAAGAAGAUUUUCUUUUUAUUUUAUAGAAGCAUAUUAAUUACGUGAUAUGUCUUAUUUUCGAGAAAUUAGUAAAUGAGCAUGAUUAUUUUGAAAUCAUAAGAAAAUAACUAAUUUAAUUACCUUAAUACACUGAGGGGCUACAAUUGUGUGUAAAUGUAACUCUUAUCCACUGAGGGGGCUACGGCCAUGUGUAAGGGUAUCUAUUAUAUACUCAGGGG
RNAcentral lists this long non-coding RNA (661 nucleotides) under Olea europaea subsp. europaea. Lineage: Eukaryota; Viridiplantae; Streptophyta; Magnoliopsida; Lamiales; Oleaceae. The record is from RNAcentral.